This 253-nucleotide ribosomal RNA is filed under the name uncultured bacterium. RNAcentral's name for it is "partial 16S ribosomal RNA". It matches the Rfam family "Bacterial small subunit ribosomal RNA", at positions 524 to 776 of the family's 1533-position model. The record is from RNAcentral.
UACGAAGGGUGCAAGCGUUAAUCGGAAUUACUGGGCGUAAAGCGCGCGUAGGUGGUUCAGUAAGUUGGAAGUGAAAUCCCCGGGCUCAACCUGGGAACUGCUUUCAAAACUGCUGAGCUAGAGUACGGUAGAGGGUGGUGGAAUUUCCUGAGUAGCGGUGAAAUGCGUAGAUAUAGGAAGGAACACCAGUGGCGAAGGCGACCACCUGGACUGAUACUGACACUGAGGUGCGAAAGCGUGGGGAGCAAACAGG